RNAcentral lists this ribosomal RNA (308 nucleotides) under uncultured Pseudochlorella. RNAcentral's name for it is "partial large subunit ribosomal RNA". It matches the Rfam family "Eukaryotic large subunit ribosomal RNA", at positions 40 to 350 of the family's 3401-position model. The record is from RNAcentral. Lineage: Eukaryota; Viridiplantae; Chlorophyta; Trebouxiophyceae; Chlorellales.
AUAUCAAUAAGCGGAGGAAAAGAAACUAACCAGGAUUCCCUAGUAGCGGCGAGCGAACCGGGAAUAGCCCAACUUGAAAAUCUCCGGCUUGCCGGCGAAUUGUAGUCUAUAGAAGUGUCCUCUGUGAUCCACUGGGCCCAAGUUCCCUGGAAGGGGACGUCAGAGAGGGUGAGAACCCCGUCGGUUCCGGUUGAGGUCACUCCACGAGGCGCUCUCGCAGAGUCGGGUUGUUUGGGAAUGCAGCCCAAAGCAGGUGGUAAAUCCCAUCUAAGGCUAAAUAUGGACGGGAGACCGAUAGCGCACAAGUA